GCGGCGUGCUAUACAUGACAAGUCGAGCGGACCUUUUAAAGCUUGCUUUUGAAAGGUCAGCGGCGGACGGGUGAGUAACACGUGGGCAACCUGCCUGUAAGACUGGGAUAACUUCGGGAAACCGGAGCUAAUACCGGAUAAUAUAAGGAACCUCCUGGUUCUUUAUUGAAAGAUGGUUUCGGCUAUCACUUACAGAUGGGCCCGCGGCGCAUUAGCUAGUUGGUGAGGUAACGGCUCACCAAGGCGACGAUGCGUAGCCGACCUGAGAGGGUGAUCGGCCACACUGGGACUGAGACACGGCCCAGACUCCUACGGGAGGCAGCAGUAGGGAAUCUUCCACAAUGGACGAAAGUCUGAUGGAGCAACGCCGCGUGAGCGAUGAAGGCCUUCGGGUCGUAAAGCUCUGUUGUUAGGGAAGAACAAGUGCGAGAGUAACUGCUCGCACCUUGACGGUACCUAACCAGAAAGCCACGGCUAACUACGUGCCAGCAGCCGCGGUAAUACGUAGGUGGCAAGCGUUGUCCGGAAUUAUUGGGCGUAAAGCGCGCGCAGGUGGUCCUUUAAGUCUGAUGUGAAAGCCACGGCUCACCGUGGAGGGUCAUUGGAAACUGGGGACUUGAGUGCAAAAGAGAGU
RNAcentral lists this ribosomal RNA (634 nucleotides) under Bacillus sp. (in: firmicutes). Its description in RNAcentral is "bacterial SSU rRNA". It matches the Rfam family "Bacterial small subunit ribosomal RNA", at positions 39 to 659 of the family's 1533-position model. Lineage: Bacteria; Bacillati; Bacillota; Bacilli; Caryophanales; Bacillaceae. The record is from RNAcentral.